RNAcentral lists this ribosomal RNA (497 nucleotides) under uncultured soil bacterium. RNAcentral describes it as "bacterial SSU rRNA". It matches the Rfam family "Bacterial small subunit ribosomal RNA", at positions 26 to 517 of the family's 1533-position model. The record is from RNAcentral.
AGAACGAACGCUGGCGGCGUGGAUAAGACAUGCAAGUCGAACGGGGAAUCUUUAGAGCUUGCUUUGAAGAUUUCUAGUGGCGAACGGGUGAGUAACACGUGAGUUACCUGCCCCGAAGCGGGGGAUAACCCGAAGAAAUUCGGACUAAUACCCCAUGUGAUCGCAAGAUUAAAGGCGGCGUAAGCUGUCGCUUCGGGAUGGGCUUGCGGCCUAUCAGCUUGUUGGUGAGGUAAUGGCUCACCAAGGCUAUGACGGGUAGCUGAUCUGAGAGGAUGAUCAGUCACACUGGAACUGAGACACGGUCCAGACACCUACGGGUGGCAGCAGUCGAGAAUCAUUCGCAAUGGGCGCAAGCCUGACGGUGCGACGCCGCGUGGAGGAUGAAGGCCCUAGGGUCGUAAACUCCUAGUCAAUCAGGGAGUAAUGGCUCAUGUAGUAACUGACAAUGGGCUUUGAUAGUACCUGAAGAGGAAGGACGACGAAAACUUCGACGACCG